GAUGAACGCUGGCGGCGUGCUUAAUACAUGCAAGUCGAGCGAACAGACCAGGAGCUUGCUCCUCUCACGUUAGCCGCGGACGGGUGAGUAACACGUGGAUAACCCACCUAUAAGACUGGGAUAACUUCGGGAAACCGGAGCUAAUACCGGAUAAUAUAUUGAACCGCAUUGUUCAAUAGUGAAAGACGGUUUUGCUGUCACUUCUAGAUGGAUCCCCGCCGCAUUAGCUAGUUGGUAAGUUAACGGCUUACCAAGGCAACGAUGCGUAUACGACCUGAGAGGUUGAUCGGCCACAUUAGAACUGGGACACCGUCCAGAGGCCUACGAAAGGCAGCAGUCGGGAACGUUCCGCAAUAGGCGAAAGCUUGGCGGAGUAACGCCGCGUGAGUGAUAAAGAUCUUCAGAUCGUAAAACUCUCUUAUUAGGGGAGAACAAAUGUGUAAGUAAAUAUGCACGUCUUGACGGUACCGAAUCAGAAAGCCACGGCUAACUACGUG
RNAcentral lists this ribosomal RNA (497 nucleotides) under uncultured bacterium. RNAcentral's name for it is "partial 16S ribosomal RNA". It matches the Rfam family "Bacterial small subunit ribosomal RNA", at positions 28 to 507 of the family's 1533-position model. The record is from RNAcentral.